GCAAGUCGAGGGGUAACAGGGAGUGCUUGCACUCUGCUGACGACCGGCGCACGGGUGCGUAACGCGUAUGCAAUCUACCUCUUACUGAGGGAUAGCCCAUGGAAACGUGGAUUAAUACCUCAUAGUAUUAUAGACUGGCCUCAGUUUAUGAUUAAAGGUUACGGUAAGAGAUGAGCAUGCGUCCUAUUAGCUAGAUGGUAAGGUAACGGCUUACCAUGGCUACGAUAGGUAGGGGUCCUGAGAGGGAGAUCCCCCACACUGGUACUGAGACACGGACCAGACUCCUACGGGAGGCAGCAGUGAGGAAUAUUGGACAAUGGGCGAGAGCCUGAUCCAGCCAUGCCGCGUGCAGGAAGACGGCCCUAUGGGUUGUAAACUGCUUUUACAGAGGAAGAACCCUCCUUACGUGUAAGGAGCUGACGGUACUCUAUGAAUAAGGAUCGGCUAACUCCGUGCCAGCAGCCGCGGUAAUACGGAGGAUCCAAGCGUUAUCCGGAAUCAUUGGGUUUAAAGGGUCCGUAGGCGGGUCUAUAAGUCAGUGGUGAAAGUCUGCA
RNAcentral lists this ribosomal RNA (554 nucleotides) under Zunongwangia profunda. RNAcentral's name for it is "bacterial SSU rRNA". It matches the Rfam family "Bacterial small subunit ribosomal RNA", at positions 57 to 606 of the family's 1533-position model. The record is from RNAcentral. Lineage: Bacteria; Pseudomonadati; Bacteroidota; Flavobacteriia; Flavobacteriales; Flavobacteriaceae.